CCCCCCCCCCCCCGUCUUCACCUCUCUCCCCAGUUUCUUUUCUUUCUUCUCUCUCCCCGUCCGUUUUCACCCCUCUCUGGCUCUCUCUCCCUCACCCUUUAUUUAGCCCUUCUUUCCUCAACCUUUGUUCAGCCUCUAUUUUUCAAAGACAUCACCACUGCACUCCGGCAUCCUCGGCCCACAACCAUCUUCAGUCAACCUCGGGGCUCGGGGGCACCACAAUCGUCGCACCACCCACAAGGAAUGCCUUCCAGAUCUGUUCCUAUCGAUUUUGAUUAUCUUUUUUAAGAUCUGGGUUUUGUCAAUUUGUGCAUGUUCUAUGGAAGAAGUGGUUUGUAAAAGUUGAGAUCUGGAUGUGUAAAAAUUGAUAUUUGAGUUGUAUUUUGAUUUUGAUAUGGAAGAAACACUUCUUUUAUUUUUUUUGUUCUGGUCACAGAAACACUUUUUUUUUUCCUUAAUUCACUUGGAAGAUGAUCUCUCAGUACUUAAUCUACUUGGUUUCUUAUGUUUCAAUGUCCUCUACACUUGAAAUUAGUGUCACGUAAUAUAGAUAUUUUCAUAU
This 562-nucleotide long non-coding RNA is filed under the name Rosa chinensis. RNAcentral's name for it is "sRNA RchiOBHm_Chr2g0102331". Lineage: Eukaryota; Viridiplantae; Streptophyta; Magnoliopsida; Rosales; Rosaceae. The record is from RNAcentral.